This is a non-coding RNA of Podarcis lilfordi (Lilford's wall lizard), 120 nucleotides long. Lineage: Eukaryota; Metazoa; Chordata; Lepidosauria; Squamata; Lacertidae. The record is from the annotation of a GenBank genome assembly.
UGGAAAUGACCAGAAGGAUGGUAUGGCUGAAUAUAUAUAUAUAUAUAUAUAUAUAUAUAUAUAUAUGUGUGUGUGUGUGUGUGUGUGUGUGUGUGUGUGUGUGUCCCAAUAUCAUUCCAA